Molecule: long non-coding RNA, 3220 nt
Organism: Piliocolobus tephrosceles (Ugandan red Colobus)
Lineage: Eukaryota; Metazoa; Chordata; Mammalia; Primates; Cercopithecidae
Exons: 4
Source: RefSeq, a predicted model, not a curated record
AGAGACGGGGUUUCACUGUGUUAGGAUGGUCUCGAUCUCCUGACCUUGUGAUCCGCCCGCCUUAGCCUCCCAAAGUGCUGGGAUUACAGGCAUGAGCCACUGCACCUGGCCAGAAUGCAGUUUUUCAAACAGCAUCCUUAACUUGAAAAUAAACAACUUAACAAUUCAGAAAUCUGGUAGAAAACCUAUAGGACACCACUUCUGUGUCUCAAAGGACAAAAACAUGAAGAAGUAGGCUGAAAUAAAAGGUGCUCAAUGAUUAAAAUAUGGUCCAGCCCCAUGACUAAAUGCUAUUCAAUGAAAACAGUUAACACUUCAUGUGUUUAACAUGUAUGAACUCAAUCUUUUCAAAAUACUAAAUUCCAUUAUCUCCAUUUCACAGAUGAAGAAACUUGAGGUACAGAGAAGCCUAUUGGCUGAGCUAUGAGUUGAAGCCAGGUACUCCCACCUCCAGAGUCCGCGCAGCCAGCUGCCAUGCUCGUCUGCUAUUUUCCUGAGGAGCCAUCCACUGACAAAUGAAUAUGGACCACUGCUGAUGAUGACUAUCUCAGUGGGAUUCAACAAAAUCGAUUCCAGAGGCCGACACUGACUCCUGACAGGGUGUCCUUUCAUCAGAUCUCAUUGAAAGCACUGAGAAGAAAGAAAGAUCACAGGGGACUCCGGAGCCUGCCACUGUCAACAGUGAUGCCCGUUGGGCCGACACUGGGUUGGAAUGACUUGAUAACCUGGUUAGAAGCAGGGAAACCAGAAGCUGGAGCCGUCACUGUAGAGCUCUGUUUCAAUUGACAAACAAUCAACACUCCAAAAGGCUGAAUCUCAAUAUUUAAAAAGUGAUGUUGCCACUUCUGGAAUCUUCACAGAAAAACCAAGUGACGUGCAGCCCACACAGUGGACUACUACUUAGCAAGAAAAAGGGCUGUGGACACAUGCACACGCAAUGGUGCUCACGGGCAGGAGCACCAGUGACAAACAGCACAUCUCAAAAGUUUACAAACUGCAUCCCAUUGAUACACCACUCUUGAAAUGACAAAACUACAGAGAUACAGAACACACUAGUGACUGCAGGGGACAGGGCUGGAAGGGAGGGGAGGCAACUACAAAGGGGUGGCACAAGGGGAUUCCUCUGUGGUAGCGAUGCGUAGGGUGGCCGCCGCAUGAGUCUACAUGUGGGGUCGGAUUCCACAGACUGUACACCGAACUGCUGAAAACAAGGAAGCCUGUGGUUUGGACUGCUGUGUCCUUCCAAUGCCACCUUCCUGUCUCAUAGUUAAGUAAGAUGUCACCACUGGGGGAAGCAGAGGGAAGGGUUCAUGGGACUCUACUAUUUUUGCAACUUCCUGUGAGUCUCAAAAAAUUUACAUAAUAAUGUAGAAACUUUACCUUUCUAUGCUUUUGAAGGGAAUAUGGAGAAGAAAAUAAACCCUACUACCACGAAGCCUUUUGAAACUCUCCCUGCACCUGUGCACCUGCAGUGCUCCCCCAACGGGUCAGAGGGGGCAGUGCGGACCGUGGGACCACGCGGUGCCCACUGGCUUUCUAGCGCCCACUCUGCUAUCACAGGUCCCUGCGGGAGAACUCCUAGCAUGGUGUGGCCAUGAGGGAAGCCUAGGCAAGGGAGGGUCAGUCUGGGGUAUGACUGUGAAGCUCAACAUCUGGGACCACAGGGAUAAGAGAUGACCGGGGAGCACUGAGAAUUCAUCUUCUGGUCCGCCCCUCUUGAUCCAUAACGCUGCUCCCCACGCUCCUGGCACGCAUGCAAGGCGGAGACAGCCUUUCCGUGUCUCUCUCCCGACCGCGGGGGCCACAGCGCCCCUUCUCCCUCCUUGUUUUGCUUCUGGUUGAUGUAUCGUCGGUACUCACUCCUCCUCAGAUGCCCUAUCCUGAAGCCAUCCAGCCUCCGCCUUUCCUCGGGUGUCUGGGAUGAAUCAGCUUCCCUUAUUCAGAAUUCAUCAAAUGGAAAGGAAGAGCAGAGUUUCACUUUCUUCAGCAGAAAGAGCAGAGUUUCACUUUCUUCAGCAGAGCCCUCUCAAGACUGCUCCCGAACUGAGAUGAGGUGACCAGGCUUUCUACGAGAGCAACAGAUCCUGGCUCUGUCAGCAAGACCUGUGUUCAUGUGGCCCGCCCUGUGCUGCCCGUGAUCAUCUCCUCACCGGAAUCACUAGCAGAAAUGUUUGCCGGGCUUGGACAUUUCCAUGAAGAAGAUGAUUAACUCUGAGCGGAGCCAAGAACCCCCCAGAUAGGACUCAGCCCUCCCCAAGACCCUGGAGCCUUGGUGUGAUCCAACUCCAUCCCCACCUGGCAGUCAGCCUGUCGGAGGGCCAGUGAGGAAUCUGACAGCAGGGCUCUAACCACUGGCUAUGGUGGAGAAGGCCUCAGGAAACAGUUUUCACUCAGGGCGGAGAAUGACUGCCUCCCAUGAAAGCAUUUCCAGUGAGUGGAGGUGGGUUUAGGUGCCAUCUGUGCCGAAGCGGUACCAUCUCCCAGGUCUAGAAAGGAAAAAGAGAAGAUGAAGGCCUUGCCCACAUCCAAUCCAAAGGGGAGAGACAUCCUGGCGAGCUCUGCACAUAAGAGAACGAGAGAUUAGCUGUCCCCGCAUCAGAGCGCCAUUAAGGCCGUCCCCUCUGAGCACUGGCUGGAGCCUGCAUCACAAUCACCAGUGUUUGCACUGGAAGCCAUGGGCAACGCGACAGACCGUGAGGAAAGCCUGCAGAUGGCUCCAUUAAUAAAGCUGCCGUUCACCACGCCAAAGCUGAAGUGGUUUCCAUGGGAAACUCUCACAUUAAAAUAGAAGGAAGUUUUUUAAUCAAAUUUUAGUAGUUAAUUACAUUUUUUUAUUAAACAUUAUCAAGUUUAAACACAAAGAUUUGCCAGGGAGGGCACUCAGGAAAGCACAGACGCGGCCGUUGGCACCGCCAGGAGCUGAGGGGUUUCUCGGGCACGGGACCCCCCAACGGCUCUUGCUCCUCCAUGUCCUGAUUCAACGCUAGGGUCCGUUCCACACCACUCACUCGAAGCGUGAGGGACACAACCCAGUGGUGAAGCCAGAGGACUGCGGGGCAGCCUCCAAGGCCACAGGCCUCUCCAGAGCCGGCGCAGUGGCUUCAGCUCCAGGCGUGUGAGCGACACUGGCCGUCAUCCUCGUCCUUGAAACUCCCUCCCCUCCUGCCACCAUUCCUCCGGGUUUCUUUCUUCCCUCCUGCCCUUUCUCCCUCCUUUUAUC